RNAcentral lists this long non-coding RNA (1009 nucleotides) under Bos mutus (wild yak). RNAcentral's name for it is "lncRNA (ENSBMUG00000011368.1)". Lineage: Eukaryota; Metazoa; Chordata; Mammalia; Artiodactyla; Bovidae. The record is from RNAcentral.
CAUCCUGGGCCUGGUUUCUUCGUCUGUCCUGCUUUCUCCAGCACGCACACAGCAACACUUCAGCUACUCUCUGUGACCCCUCCAGCUGGCCUCAGUUGUCUCCUCUGCCUGUGCGCCCUUCUCAGUCUCCCAUCCGCUGCUCAACCCAGUUCAGCCGUCUCUGCCUGAGACACAUUGUCACACACUGUCCGUCCACGUGUCCAACCUCCAAAGCUCCUGUCCUCCCGCUCCCCGUAGUGUAACCUUUCCUGUUCCAUUCAGAUCCUUUCACACUCCUCUGACACAUUCGUGGGGAACCGUUCCUGACUCUCUGCCUUCAUCCCUUCACCACAGUGCUGAUACCUUUAGCCUCGCCCUGGGCUGCCACCUCUCCCCAGACGCUCUCCAGCACUGACCUCUCCCACCCACUCUGGCCUUUCCAUGAGUGUGGACGUCCCCUCUGGUGCUCUCUGCCCGCGUACAUACAACCCCUCUUCCUUUCAGUCUGCACUUGCAUCUCUGGGCUCAAGCAUCCUCAGCUCUGGGACCACCACAUUGGCAAUUCUUUUCUGACGAAUUAACAGUAAUUCCACCCCACCCCACCCCCUUGAUUCAGGUGCCUUGUCCGUUACAUCCAUUUGCUUGCUGUCUGCCUGGUCCUGGGUCCUUUUCCUCCAAGUCUGACAGUCUGGACUCUGAUGCCUCCCUCUGCCCCAUCCGGGGGCUCAUCUGCUCACCCUUCACCUCUCUGACCAGCUCUCCACCUGCCCUCCCCCCCAGUGAUUCUCACCCGAGGAUGCAUGACCCCCAAGGCUGGCCUAUCAGCAGCAUCUCUGAGGAAUGUUUUUGUGUUUUCUUUUUGCAUGUUUUUGGGUUUGUUUUUGUUUGGAGCAGAGCGCUGCUCGCCCUCCGAUGUUCUGAUAGGCCUCCCUUGGGGUCCAUGCCCCAGCCCCCCCGCGGGUGAAAACCACCCCCCCCCACCCCGGGGAAGAAUCACUGCCGUGGAGGGCCAGCCUGCCCCCCCGGGCUG